RNAcentral lists this ribosomal RNA (583 nucleotides) under Blenniella bilitonensis (lined rockskipper). RNAcentral's name for it is "partial 16S ribosomal RNA". It matches the Rfam family "Bacterial large subunit ribosomal RNA", at positions 1815 to 2604 of the family's 2925-position model. The record is from RNAcentral. Lineage: Eukaryota; Metazoa; Chordata; Actinopteri; Blenniiformes; Blenniidae.
AUCGCCUCCCGACCUAACCCAACAUGGGAGGUCCCGCCUGCCCUGUGAUUAAUGAUUUAACGGCCGCGGUAUUUUGACCGUGCAAAGGUAGCGCAAUCACUUGUCUUUUAAAUGGAGACCUGUAUGAAUGGCAUAACGAGGGCUUAACUGUCUCCCUUUCUCAGUCAAUGAAAUUGAUCCUCCCGUGCAGAAGCGGGAAUAAGCGCAUAAGACGAGAAGACCCUGUGGAGCUUUAGGCAAUAGGUAGAGCCCGUAAAGAUAACCUCUAAAGAAAAAAACACAGGGACUAUCUACUUUAAUGCCUUCGGUUGGGGCGACCGCGGGGAAAUAUUAAACCCCCACGUGGAAUGUGAAAUACUUCUUUAAACCAAGAAUGGCAAUUCUAAACAACAGAAUAUCUGACCUAAAUUGACCCGGCAUUUUGCCGAGCAACGAAACCAGUUACCCCAGGGAUAACAGCGCAAUCCUCUCCCAGAGCCCAUAUCGACGAGGGGGUUUACGACCUCGAUGUUGGAUCAGGACAUCCUAAUGGUGCAGCCGCUAUUAAGGGUUCGUUUGUUCAACGAUUAAAGUCCUACGUGAU